This 231-nucleotide ribosomal RNA is filed under the name Lacticaseibacillus paracasei. RNAcentral's name for it is "Lactobacillus paracasei partial 16S ribosomal RNA". It matches the Rfam family "Bacterial small subunit ribosomal RNA", at positions 1 to 208 of the family's 1533-position model. Lineage: Bacteria; Bacillati; Bacillota; Bacilli; Lactobacillales; Lactobacillaceae. The record is from RNAcentral.
UUUAUAUGAGAGUUUGAUCCUGGCUCAGGAUGAACGCUGGCGGCGUGCCUAAUACAUGCAAGUCGAACGAGUUCUCGUUGAUGAUCGGCGCUUGCACCGAGAUUCAACAUGGAACGAGUGGCGGACGGGUGAGUAACACGUGGGUAACCUGCCCUUAAGUGGGGGAUAACAUUUGGAAACAGAUGCUAAUACCGCAUAGAUCCAAGAACCGCAUGGUUCUUGGCUGAAAAG